RNAcentral lists this long non-coding RNA (327 nucleotides) under Lonchura striata (white-rumped munia). RNAcentral describes it as "domestica (Bengalese finch) lncRNA (ENSLSDG00000002898.1)". The record is from RNAcentral. Lineage: Eukaryota; Metazoa; Chordata; Aves; Passeriformes; Estrildidae.
CCCCGUGGAUGUCAGCGCCCUCCUGCCUGCAGGACUGAGGGAUCCACUCCAAUCUCUCCUCUGGCAGAGGAGGAUCCCUCAUUCCCAGAGACCCCGAGGCAGGAGCGCUGAGUUUCCUGGGAAGCCGUGUGUUCCUAAGGAUCUGUCCCGGCCUGGAAUCCCCCAUGGAUUUAGGAAGCACCCAGGCGCCGGGAAUUGAAUCCAGCGCCGGGAGCGAGGCGGCUGAGAGGAGCAGCUGAGGGGACAUCAGCAUCUUCCUCAGGUAAAGGCGCCUGCACACGGGACUCACCUUGCUCAGCAGCUCCGGGAGCUCAGACCGUGCAUUCC